UUUCACUUUUGCUUACCAUGUAUUGGCAUGUCAUUCUACCUCAUCAGUGAGGGCUUGUUUGGAUGUUCAUUGUUGUAUAGAAUUCACCACUAUAAAACGUUAGAUUUCCCGUAUGCACUUCUGCUAAGAGAACAUUGGUUUAGGGUAUAAAACAGUGCAUAACUAAUACCUACAGACUUAUGUGAGGAUAUAAGUAUCACGGGAUGAGAAUAAGGUAUCUCAUUUCUGCAUAAAAAUCACUAUCUAUUUUUCAUUGCAUAGAUAUCCAUUUAUUAUUAUUCAUUGAAUACCAAUUCAUAUAUUAGUGCUUCCUAUAAAACAAGUCUGCGAACCAAAUAACUCCUAAGAGCCUAUAACCUUGUUGCUUGUCUGGCUGAGUCAUUUUGUUGGGAAUUGCAUAUUAUCUCUCAAACAAUUGAAAAAACCUUGUUGCUUGUCUGGCUGAGUUAUUUUGUUGGGAAUUGCAUAUUAUCUCUCAAACAAUUGAAACAUUUAAAUUUUAUGGGAUUCUCUAUGGAUUUUGACUCGGUAAUAAUCCAGUUCUAUUCCUUAAUCCUUCAUAUCUACUUAAGAAGUAUCUCUGUACCUGAAUUUGGGAUUUCUCUUGCUAUAUUAUGUGGCAUCCUUUUGCACAUAGGUUUCACUUAUAAUAUACCCUUUGUUAAUCUAUGAUACACACUGUAUAUAAGAGCAUGAAGAACAUCCUAAGGUAAGUUGUUUCAAUCAGUACUUAUUUGUUUGCUCGUCUCUUUUUCUUUUCAACUUUAAAUAAU
RNAcentral lists this long non-coding RNA (773 nucleotides) under Nicotiana benthamiana. Its description in RNAcentral is "long non-coding RNA (NBEN_LNC008642)". The record is from RNAcentral. Lineage: Eukaryota; Viridiplantae; Streptophyta; Magnoliopsida; Solanales; Solanaceae.